This 57-nucleotide transfer RNA is filed under the name Campylobacter concisus. Its description in RNAcentral is "tRNA-Thr". It matches the Rfam family "tRNA", at positions 14 to 65 of the family's 71-position model. Rfam says of the family: Transfer RNA (tRNA) molecules are approximately 80 nucleotides in length. The record is from RNAcentral. Lineage: Bacteria; Pseudomonadati; Campylobacterota; Epsilonproteobacteria; Campylobacterales; Campylobacteraceae.
AGUUGGUAGAGCUACUGCCUUGUAAGCAGUGGGUCGGCGGUUCAAGUCCGUUCACCA